CGCCUGGAAGAAGGAGGACAAGCCCCACCGUCGCCUGGAAGAAGGAGGACAAGCCCCGCCGCCGCCUGGAAGGAGGAGGACAAGCCCCGCCGCCGCCACCCUCGCAUUGCCAGCCCCUGCCCACCGCGCCCACCCCCGCGCUGCAACUCCCGCCGCGCCGAAUGCUCCCCAACGCCCUGUACAAUCCGGGGGAGAGGUCAAGGAAGGCGAGCGACGCUCGGCAGGAAGGGCAUCCCGCGAGGCCGCGACAGUGGCGGCACUCCGCUCCCACCAACCCACAACACUGAUCCCCUCCUCGCCGAGCC
This 305-nucleotide unclassified non-coding RNA is filed under the name Zea mays. RNAcentral describes it as "misc RNA Zm00001eb183670". Lineage: Eukaryota; Viridiplantae; Streptophyta; Magnoliopsida; Poales; Poaceae. The record is from RNAcentral.